This is a long non-coding RNA of Macadamia integrifolia, 384 nucleotides long. RefSeq lists it as uncharacterized. The transcript is spliced from 2 exons. NCBI's taxonomy places the organism in Eukaryota, Viridiplantae, Streptophyta, Magnoliopsida, Proteales, Proteaceae. The record is from RefSeq and is a predicted model, not a curated record.
CGAUGGUGGUCCUCUCCAGCCCAACUCCCAAACGCCAUUUUUUACGUCUGAGAGCUUUCGCAGGAAGAAAUGAAGAGAUAGCAUGAGAGAGAGAGAAGAGAAACGGAAGAAGAAAACAAAAACAAAAGGAAAUAAGAGAGAGAAAAGAAGAUAAAUGCUAAAGCUGUGUUAGUCGGCAGCUCUCAGGAAUUGGAAUCGUUACUGAAAGAUUUGUUCGAAACAAAUUGAGAACGGAAGACUCUUCUCUUCGUCUGGUUAUUUCAGAUUUCCGUUUAUUUUAAUUUUAUGGAUUUCAUACUUUAAAACGAAGGAUUGAGGUCCUAGAGAGUUGCUUAGGCCUUUGCUCGACCUCCCCUCCCCUCCCCGCCACAACUCCCCAACCCC